RNAcentral lists this long non-coding RNA (379 nucleotides) under Setaria viridis. RNAcentral describes it as "long non-coding RNA (SVIR_LNC008003)". Lineage: Eukaryota; Viridiplantae; Streptophyta; Magnoliopsida; Poales; Poaceae. The record is from RNAcentral.
GAGAUUUGGGAGAUGUUUGAGUAAGAUGGUAAUCUUCUAGGGGUUUGAAUUAAUAUUCAAGUUAGGUUUGAAUAUUAAUUCUUGGAUUUCUAGUUUAGGAAUUAUUUUGGAGGGGUCAUUUCCUAAGUUUUUAUGGUUUGAAAGGGAUCAACAUAGAUAAGGUUCAAGGACUUGAAUAUUACACUUGUAUAAUGUUCAGGGAAGUUGACAUAGGAUCCGAAUAGGAUGAAUAUUUGAAUAGAAUGCAAAUAUUGUUUCUAGGAGUUCUAAAAGCUUUAUCGAGAGAGGUACUCCUAGAGCAAUCAAAUGCAACACACAUGCUUAGAUUCACUGCAUGGUUUUUAAUGUAAAAAGAAGUUGAAUAAUUUUGAGAAAAUAA